GGGUUGUGAGGUUAAGCGACUAAGCGUACACGGUGGAUGCCCUGGCAGUCAGAGGCGAUGAAGGACGUGCUAAUCUGCGAAAAGCGCCGGURAGGUGAUAUGAACCGUUAUAACCGGCGAUGUCCGAAUGGGGAAACCCAGUGUGACUCGUCACACUAUCAUUAACUGAAUCCAUAGGUUAAUGAGGCGAACCGGGAGAACUGAAACAUCUAAGUACCCCGAGGAAAAGAAAUCAACCGAGAUUCCCCAAGUAGCGGCGAGCGAACGGGGAAGAGCCCAGAGUCUGAAUCAGCAGGUGUGUUAGUGGAACGGUCCGGAAUGGCCGGCGAUACAGGGUGAAAGCCCCGUACACGAAAGCGCACCYGUUGUGAGCUCGAUGAGUAGGGCGGGACACGUGGUAUCCUGUCUGAAUAUGGGGGGACCAUCCUCCAAGGCUAAAUACUCCUGACUGACCGAUAGUGAACCAGUACCGUGAGGGAAAGGCGAAAAGAACCCCGGCGAGGGGAGUGAAAAAGAACCUGAAACCGUGUACGUACAAGCAGUGGGAGCCCCACCACCAAAGCGUUUCGCUUUGCGUGGUGCGCAAAAUGCGUAACGACAGCGCGACUGACGGUUAACGGAGCGUAAGCGACGUUCAACUUAAAAAUCAGGCAGUGGAGCGUUUUGGGGUGGGGUGACUGCGUACCUUUUGUAUAAUGGGUCAGCGACUUAUAUUCUGUAGCAAGGUUAACCG
RNAcentral lists this ribosomal RNA (733 nucleotides) under Mangrovibacter phragmitis. RNAcentral's name for it is "bacterial LSU rRNA". It matches the Rfam family "Bacterial large subunit ribosomal RNA", at positions 1 to 654 of the family's 2925-position model. The record is from RNAcentral. Lineage: Bacteria; Pseudomonadati; Pseudomonadota; Gammaproteobacteria; Enterobacterales; Enterobacteriaceae.